This is a transfer RNA of Trichoderma reesei QM6a, 83 nucleotides long. It matches the Rfam family "tRNA". From Rfam's summary of the family: Transfer RNA (tRNA) molecules are approximately 80 nucleotides in length. Their secondary structure includes four short double-helical elements and three loops (D, anti-codon, and T loops). Further hydrogen bonds mediate the characteristic L-shaped molecular structure. tRNAs have two regions of fundamental functional importance: the anti-codon, which is responsible for specific mRNA codon recognition, and the 3' end, to which the tRNAs corresponding amino acid is attached (by aminoacyl-tRNA synthetases). tRNAs cope with the degeneracy of the genetic code in two manners: having more than one tRNA (with a specific anti-codon) for a particular amino acid; and 'wobble' base-pairing, i.e. permitting non-standard base-pairing at the 3rd anti-codon position. The record is from Rfam. NCBI's taxonomy places the organism in Eukaryota, Fungi, Ascomycota, Sordariomycetes, Hypocreales, Hypocreaceae.
UCCGAUAUGGUGUAGUGGCUAACAUCGCUCGCUCUCAUCCAACGAGUGCCGAGCAGCCCUGGGUUCGAUUCCCAGUAUCGGAG